This is a long non-coding RNA of Thamnophis elegans (Western terrestrial garter snake), 920 nucleotides long. RefSeq lists it as uncharacterized. NCBI's taxonomy places the organism in Eukaryota, Metazoa, Chordata, Lepidosauria, Squamata, Natricidae. The transcript is spliced from 2 exons. The record is from RefSeq and is a predicted model, not a curated record.
UUAGCAGCUCCGUUUUUGCUGGCUUCCCUCGCGUUUAUCAAAUAGUAACAGCGGCCAGAAAUCUGUAGUGCCCACCGCGUGCCCACCUUUUGGCAUUAGGAAAGUUGAUUUGUUGCCAGCCGCUCCUACCGCUAUCUAAACCUUGGAGUUGUGCGCUUGUAUCCACAAGCAUGGAACGGUGACAGGAUCAAGAAACCAGUUCCGCUCAGCUCUCCGCACGUUAUCGUGGACAAUGCUCAACACUCCCACUAGGGGCAUGCUAGGUCUCCUUCCCAAAUUGCUGGUGCGCCUCAGGGGGUGGGGUGGGGUGGAUGCACGAGGCCUGUAAUUCCAUUUCAACUCGUUCCUGGUUCCGGUGAAACAAACGCCGUCUAUUACUGCACCUGCUGCGGAAGGAGUUGUGGUUACGCACCUGAAAAUGACGUGCCCUUCCUUGUAGCACCAGCUUCAGCGUUUUAUAAGUGUUCAAGAAUGAUGGACUAAGGGAAAUUUCAACAAUUUUUUCUCCUUUUUUAAAUUACCCUCUUCUUCCUUUUUUUUCCUUUUCAUGACUUUUUGCAUUGAAGAGAUUAAAGAAUUUUUAUUUUUUAUUUUUCAUUUUUCCCUUCCUGAUUUUUGGUUACAAAAAAUUGAAGAAAGGGAUGAAGAAAGAGAGAAGAAAAUGGAUAGUAGAUUGAAUAUAGUGGAAAAAGACAACAGCGGAAGACUGGGAUGGGAAAUGGAUCGGUCAGAUUUUUUUUAAGAUUUCAAAACAUAGAAGAAGAAAAAGAUGAGGACUUGGCACAAAUAAUAUCAGAAUUACUGAAAAAUGUGUUAGAGAUAACCCAAGAGAAGAUGACUGAUGGCGUAGACAAGGUGUUUCGAGUCUACAUGAGAUACGCAGCGAGAAAUUGACUCCCGAGGGAAGUCCAUGUAAGAUU